GAGUUUGAUCAUGGCUCAGGACGAACGCUGGCGGCGUGCUUAACACAUGCAAGUCGAACGGAAAGGCCCUCACCUUGGUGGGGGUGCUCGAGUGGCGAACGGGUGAGUAACACGUGGGUGAUCUGCCCUGUACUUCGGGAUAAGCUUGGGAAACUGGGUCUAAUACCGGAUAGGACCAUGGUUUAGUGUCUCAUGGUGGAAAGAUUAUUGUUUUGGUGCAGGAUGAGCUCGCGGCCUAUCAGCUUGUUGGUGGGGUAAUGGCCUACCAAGGCGUCGACGGGUAGCCGGCCUGAGAAGGUGGACGGCCACAUUGGGACUGAGAUACGGCCCAGACUCCUACGGGAGGCAGCAGUGGGGAAUAUUGCACAAUGGGCGCAAGCCUGAUGCAGCGACGCCGCGUGGGGGAUGACGGCCUUCGGGUUGUAAACUCCUUUCGUUAGGGACGAAGCCGCACCUUUUUUUGGGUGUGGUGACGGUACCUUUGUUAAGAAGCACCGGCUAACUACGUGCCAGCAGCCGCGGUAAUACGUAGGGUGCGAGCGUUGUCCGGAAUUACUGGGCGUAAAGAGCUCGUAGGUGGUUUGUUGCGUCGUCUGUGAAAUUCCGGGGCUUAACUUCGGGGUGGCAGGUGAUACGGGCAUAACUAGAGUGCUGUAGGGGAGACUGGAAUUCCUGGUGUAGCGGUGGAAUGCGCAGAUAUCAGGAGGAACACCGAUGGCGAAGGCAGGUCUCUGGGCAGUAACUGACGCUGAGGAGCGAAAGCAUGGGGAGCGAACAGGAUUAGAUACCCUGGUAGUCCAUGCUGUAAACGGUGGGCGUUAGGUGUGGGGACCGGUUUGGUUUCUGUGCCGUAGCUAACGCAUUAAGCGCCCCGCCUGGGGAGUACGGCCGCAAGGCUAAAACUCAAAGGAAUUGACGGGGGCCCGCACAAGCGGCGGAGCAUGUGGAUUAAUUCGAUGCAACGCGAAGAACCUUACCUGGGUUUGACAUGCACCAGACGGUUGUAGAGAUACGUACCUCCCUUUGUGGUUGGUGUGCAGGUGGUGCAUGGUUGUCGUCAGCUCGUGUCGUGAGAUGUUGGGUUAAGUCCCGCAACGAGCGCAACCCUUGUCUUAUGUUGCCAGCACGUUUGGGUGGGGACUCAUGAGAGACUGCCGGGGUUAACUCGGAGGAAGGUGGGGAUGACGUCAAAUCAUCAUGCCCUUUAUGCCCAGGGCUUCACACAUGCUACGAUGGUUAGUACGACGCGCAGCGAACCUGUGAGGGUGAGCGAAUCGCUGAAAGCUAAUCUCGGUUUCGGAUUGGGGUUCUGCGAACUCGACCCCGUGAAAGU
This 1333-nucleotide ribosomal RNA is filed under the name uncultured bacterium. Its description in RNAcentral is "bacterial SSU rRNA". It matches the Rfam family "Bacterial small subunit ribosomal RNA", at positions 9 to 1327 of the family's 1533-position model. The record is from RNAcentral.